UACAGAGGUCUCAAGCGUUGUUCGGAUUCAUUGGGCGUAAAGGGUGCGUAGGUGGCGCCGUAAGUCGGGUGUGAAAUUUCGGAGCUUAACUCCGAAACUGCAUUCGAUACUGCGGUGCUUGAGGACUGGAGAGGAGACUGGAAUUCAUGGUGUAGCAGUGAAAUGCGUAGAGAUCAUGAGGAAGACCAGUGGCGAAGGCGGGUCUCUGGACAGUUCCUGACGCUGAGGCGCGAAAGCGUGGGGAGCAAACAGG
Molecule: ribosomal RNA, 253 nt
Filed under: uncultured bacterium
Lineage: Bacteria
Description: partial 16S ribosomal RNA
Rfam family: Bacterial small subunit ribosomal RNA
Source: RNAcentral